RNAcentral lists this unclassified non-coding RNA (238 nucleotides) under Hevea brasiliensis (rubber tree). The record is from RNAcentral. Lineage: Eukaryota; Viridiplantae; Streptophyta; Magnoliopsida; Malpighiales; Euphorbiaceae.
UUUUUUUUUUUUUUUUUUUCUGAGCUCUUAAACUGGAAGUCCUUUUCCUUUUAUCAAAGUAGAACAUGAAGUGGGAAUGCAUUAAGAGGCUGUUUGACAUUGAGGUUGAAACCUACUUCUUGGAAAAGUGUCUUUUAAGAUGUUGAAAAACAAUGUUCAAACUGGUAGUUUGAAGAAUCUGCUUAGCUGCUUCGGAGUUUUUAUGACUAAAACAGGUCAAAUUUAAUAUAAAAAUAAU